UACGUAGGGGGCAAGCGUUGUCCGGAUUUAUUGGGCGUAAAGAGCGUGUAGGCGGCUAGAUAGGUCCGUUGUGAAAACUGGAGGCUCAACCUCCAGCUGUCGAUGGAAACCAUCUGGCUAGAGUCCGGAAGAGGAGAGUGGAAUUCCUGGUGUAGCGGUGAAAUGCGCAGAUAUCAGGAAGAACACCCGUGGCGAAGGCGGCUCUCUGGGACGUGACUGACGCUGAGACGCGAAAGCGUGGGGAGCAAACAGGAUUAGAUACCCUGGUAGUCCACGCCGUAAACGAUGGGUGCUAGGUGUGGGCGGUGUCGACUCCGUCCGUGCCGAAGCUAACGCAUUAAGCACCCCGCCUGGGGAGUACGGCCGCAAGGCUAAA
This 376-nucleotide ribosomal RNA is filed under the name uncultured bacterium. RNAcentral's name for it is "bacterial SSU rRNA". It matches the Rfam family "Bacterial small subunit ribosomal RNA", at positions 524 to 898 of the family's 1533-position model. The record is from RNAcentral.